UAAAAUAGUAGGCACAUAGUUGAAUGAAGGCUCAGGCGGAGAGGAUCACUUUUCAAAGAUUGUAAAAGAAGUUACGUGGAUAGUGUGUGUUAUGCAGCAAGGAAAGGAAUGGAAAAUCAGAAGACGUGUUUAGAUCACACAAACCAGAGGUGAAAGCUGAAUCUGAGAGGCUUCUGUUUCCAGCAAUAAGGCCAAUAAUACCCCAAGCUCCUGACUGAAACCAAACACUCUGGAGGGACACUCUCACAUGCAGGCCAGAAGGAAUUUGAAUAGAAGGAAACAGGCUAAAGAAGAGAGCUCAUGGCAAAAAUUACAAACCAUACAAGGAAGGCAUUCACCACAGUGAGAGUCUGUUGUUUGGUGAAUACUCAUUUAGGAUUGUUAAAUCUUCUUGGAGGAUUGACCUUUUUAUCAUUAGGUUGCUGAAGAAGAAUCUUACUCUAGGGCUCACUAGCAACUUUGGACUGGUGAUGUAUAAGACAU
This 483-nucleotide long non-coding RNA is filed under the name Homo sapiens (human). RNAcentral's name for it is "long non-coding RNA NONHSAT212392.1". The record is from RNAcentral. Lineage: Eukaryota; Metazoa; Chordata; Mammalia; Primates; Hominidae.